This 253-nucleotide ribosomal RNA is filed under the name uncultured bacterium. RNAcentral's name for it is "partial 16S ribosomal RNA". It matches the Rfam family "Bacterial small subunit ribosomal RNA", at positions 524 to 776 of the family's 1533-position model. The record is from RNAcentral.
UACAGGGGGGGCAAGCGUUGUUCGGAAUUACUGGGCGUAAAGGGCUCGUAGGUGGCCAACUAAGUCAGACGUGAAAUCCCUCAGCUUAACUGGGGAACUGCGUCUGAUACUGGAUGGCUUGAGUUCGGGAGAGGGAUGCGGAAUUCCAGGUGUAGCGGUGAAAUGCGUAGAUAUCUGGAGGAACACCGGUGGCGAAGGCGGCAUCCUGGACCGAUACUGACGCUGAGGAGCGAAAGCCAGGGGAGCAAACGGG